CCCGAGCACGUCAAACAGACGCCGAACGGACAGAGUUUUCCCUAUCCGCCCAAGGCUCAUCACAUGUACAAAUUCAAACAAGAAAUGCACUAGCGGAAACAUACACAAACGGCUUACACGAGAGUAAGCAAUAGCCAUUAGUGAAAGAAAGGAAAACUAAACAUUCAUUUGUACUAUGAUUCAUUUUUGAUCAUAUACAUUGCAUUCAUCUUGUUCAUUUUCGAAUUCCCUACACGUCACUUCAUCAUUUCUUUCUUACAUCACAUUUACCACAAAAUAUACAUUACAUUCUUUUCUUUACAUUACUAGUCAUCAUAUACAAAA
This 324-nucleotide long non-coding RNA is filed under the name Ananas comosus (pineapple). Its description in RNAcentral is "long non-coding RNA (ACOM_LNC023461)". The record is from RNAcentral. Lineage: Eukaryota; Viridiplantae; Streptophyta; Magnoliopsida; Poales; Bromeliaceae.